This 253-nucleotide ribosomal RNA is filed under the name uncultured bacterium. Its description in RNAcentral is "partial 16S ribosomal RNA". It matches the Rfam family "Bacterial small subunit ribosomal RNA", at positions 524 to 776 of the family's 1533-position model. The record is from RNAcentral.
UACAGAGGGGGCAAGCGUUAUUCGGAAUUAUUGGGCGUAAAGGGCGCGUAGGCGGCCUGGCAAGUGGGAGGUGAAAUCCCUCGGCUUAACCGAGGAACUGCCCUCCAAACUGCUUGGCUUGAGUCCGGGAGAGGUGAGUGGAAUUCCCAGUGUAGCGGUGAAAUUCGUAGAUAUUCGGAGGAACACCAGUGGCGAAGGCGGCUCACUGGUCCAUUACUGACGCUGAGGUGCGAAAGCGUGGGGAGCAAACAGG